ACGCACGGGGCCUUUGGCUGCCCCCUCGCCUUACCGCUGCCAUCGUGGUGGUCUCAGGUGUCUGCUCGUGCCACCCAGCCCUUCAGAAAGAGCCCAGCAUGGCGGUGAAGUGGGUGCCGGUGGGCCCUCGGCACCGAGGCAAGGGCAGUAGGAAAAGAUGUUAACACUGAGGCUUCAGUUUCAACCAAGAGAUCAUUUUCUAAAACUGAACUGGCUGGAGUUUGUGUUCUGCAUUAUCUCAUCAAAAGCAACUUUGUUUAUGCACCAAACUGACAAGUACAUCGUUAAACAGUUUCUUAUUUUUCUGACCAGGUUUGUUCCUAUUGUCUUGGAAGGGAAGCUGACCAAAGCUUGAAAAUCAUGAGAGGGCACGUUGUCUUUUAUGUUUAAUACACUUGACUGCUCUCUGUGCCAGUCACAACAUCUGAACAGCACGACUUCAUGCCAGCAUGCAAAUUUUGUACAUUGGAGAUGUUCCAGCUUCUCUUAUUGAAAACUGAAGUAAUUCCACAGUGCACGCAGCGUCUUUGGCACUUCUUUGCACUGUCCUCUGCUGCACAAGAGCCAAUUAUUCACAAAGGUGUUGAAGCCGAGUGAUCCUCUGACUGAAAGCCAGUAGCAAUUUUUCAUCUGGGUACAGUGUCAUCACACAGGAGUGAAAGAGUUCAGCAGAGGUUACUAAUUAUUACGUAAAUGAUGUAGUCUUACCUUGGGUGUCUGGGCAGACCUGGGAGGGUGACCAGGGAUGGAGGAGUGUGAACUGCUCACGGUAUGCUUUGUCUUGGGUCUUGCCUUACCAAAACACACAGUCAUGCUCUGCCAACUCUGUUUGACAGCUUUGUGCUCAUACUGAGUUUCUCAGUCUGGGAGCCACGGCUGAUUGGCAGUGGGGUACAGAGAGCAUCCCGUCCUGCCCUGCGAAACACGCUGUGCUGAGGCGUGGGGAACUCGGGUUUAGUCGGAAGUGUGGCAGCGGGUCACAGGUGGAGAAGCGAUGCACGCUCGGCAACUGUAGGACAGAUCACCUUGCACUAAGCAGAGCUGCCUUAGGGCACCCUGGCACUUAGGCAGGAUUGAAAUCUGCUGGGUUAAGGAAAAAGGGGUUAGGACAGGCUGGACUUUCCCUGGAAGGGACCUGAACGAGAAGGAGGAAGAAUAAGGGAAGGGAAGGAAUGCAUCUGAGGGGGAAACCCUGAAAAUAUGUGCUUCCCUUUCCUGUUAGAGAUACAAGAGGGGGUGAGGCAGCAACGUUUGCUGCUGAGGAGAACCACCUUGCAAGUACUGUUUGUCAUCUCACACGCCCUGAUGGGCCUUGGCAGCCCCAGCACACCCUUAUCUCCAGCAUGUUGGCAAACUCGGCUGUGCCGCAGUUUCCUAAUUCACCAAGGCUGGGACCGAGCUGCUCUUUGUGUUCCCUGCACUUUCCUUCUCCCCAUUCUAACGGGCAGAUUAAUUUUUUUCAUCAUUUGGGGUACAAUUUCAGCUUUAAGCAGAAAAUGUUCACGCGUUGCUUAAGCCUCUAGCAGUUUAAAGGGAAUAUUGCUCUGUCAAGAUACACAGCAAGUGAAAUGCCUACUGUCUCUUAACACUAUUAUAAUGAUGGUGCUUCACUAACAUUCCCCAUGGGCUGGGUCCAUGGAGUAUGCCACAAAGUUUUCCUUUCACUGGAGUCAGCUUGGGGUUGUUUCACACCUACCUUUGCUUUAUUUACACCCGCCUGUUGUUUUGUUAUUUACAGAUCUCGGGUUACAUAAUGCAGCAGCAGCCUCCUUAACGGGUCUACGGAGAAAUUAAAUGAAUUUGCACCCGUUGCGCAGAGCUGCCUGCUAGGAACUUCCAAAGGGACAAACCAUUAUCUGAGUGUGGAAAACCGAGCUACAGAAGAUAAGGAAUUGGGUCUUUUUGAAGGGUGUUUAAAAUGUUGAUGCCUUGAAGUUGUUGGUAUCUUUGAAGUUGUCCAGGGGGGCACCCAAAAGCCGUCUCGCUGCCUUCGUAUCACGCUCACCUGCAAUUAAAAUAAUUUUAGCGGGUUUUUUGUGCGAUGACUGCACGCUGCGGCCUUCUCGUGAGGGUUUUGUUUGGCAUUUCACGUCCCGUACCCAAAAUGGAU
Molecule: long non-coding RNA, 2110 nt
Organism: Athene cunicularia (burrowing owl)
Lineage: Eukaryota; Metazoa; Chordata; Aves; Strigiformes; Strigidae
Exons: 3
Source: RefSeq, a predicted model, not a curated record